RNAcentral lists this transfer RNA (76 nucleotides) under Salmonella enterica. RNAcentral describes it as "tRNA-Lys". It matches the Rfam family "tRNA". Rfam says of the family: Transfer RNA (tRNA) molecules are approximately 80 nucleotides in length. Their secondary structure includes four short double-helical elements and three loops (D, anti-codon, and T loops). Lineage: Bacteria; Pseudomonadati; Pseudomonadota; Gammaproteobacteria; Enterobacterales; Enterobacteriaceae. The record is from RNAcentral.
GGGUCGUUAGCUCAGUUGGUAGAGCAGUUGACUUUUAAGCAAUUGGUCGCAGGUUCGAAUCCUGCACGACCCACCA